Molecule: ribosomal RNA, 313 nt
Filed under: uncultured bacterium
Lineage: Bacteria
Description: bacterial SSU rRNA
Rfam family: Bacterial small subunit ribosomal RNA
Source: RNAcentral
GAUGAACGCUGGCGGCGUGUCUAAGGCAUGCAAGUCGAACGGACUGUUAUUUGUAGCAAUACUUAGAACAGUUAGUGGCAAACGGGUGCGUAACACAUUGGUAACCUGCCUCAAAGUCGGGCAUAAUCCCGCGAAAGUGGGACUAAUUCCACGAUGGUCAUCGAAGGUGAGAUUCCUUCGAUGUAAAGUCGCAAGACGCUUUGAGAGGGGCCUAUGGCCUAUCAGCUUGUUGGUGAGGUAACGGCUCACCAAGGCUAUGACGGGUAGGGGCGUGAGAGCACGACCCCCCUCACUGGGACGUGAGACACUGCCC